RNAcentral lists this small nuclear RNA (78 nucleotides) under Mus pahari (shrew mouse). The record is from RNAcentral. Lineage: Eukaryota; Metazoa; Chordata; Mammalia; Rodentia; Muridae.
AAAAAUUGGAAUGAUAAGAGAAGAUUAGCAUGUCUCCUGCGCAAGGAUGACACUCAAAUUCGUGAAGUGUUUUAUAUA